This 492-nucleotide ribosomal RNA is filed under the name uncultured bacterium. RNAcentral's name for it is "partial 16S ribosomal RNA". It matches the Rfam family "Bacterial small subunit ribosomal RNA", at positions 29 to 507 of the family's 1533-position model. The record is from RNAcentral.
AGUGAACGCUGGCGGUAGGCCUAACACAUGCAAGUCGAACGGCAGCACAGUAAGAGCUUGCUCUUACGGGUGGCGAGUGGCGGACGGGUGAGGAAUACAUCGGAAUCUACUUUUUCGUGGGGGAUAACGUAGGGAAACUUACGCUAAUACCGCAUACGACCUACGGGUGAAAGCAGGGGAUCUUCGGACCUUGCGCGAUUGAAUGAGCCGAUGUCGGAUUAGCUAGUUGGCGGGGUAAAGGCCCACCAAGGCGACGAUCCGUAGCUGGUCUGAGAGGAUGAUCAGCCACACUGGAACUGAGACACGGUCCAGACUCCUACGGGAGGCAGCAGUGGGGAAUAUUGGACAAAGGGCACAAGCCUGAUCCAGUCAUACCGCGUGGGUGAAGAAGGCCUUCGGGUUGUAAAGCCCUUUUGUUGGGAAAGAAAAGCAGCAGGUUAAUACCCCGCUGUUCUGACGGUACCCAAAGAAUAAGCACCGGCUAACUUCGUG